GGGGAUGUAGCUCAGUGGUAGAGCACUUGCCUAGCAUUUAUAAGGUCCUGGGUUUGAUCCCCCAGUGCCACCA
Molecule: transfer RNA, 73 nt
Filed under: Heterocephalus glaber (naked mole-rat)
Lineage: Eukaryota; Metazoa; Chordata; Mammalia; Rodentia; Bathyergidae
Rfam family: tRNA
About the family: Transfer RNA (tRNA) molecules are approximately 80 nucleotides in length. Their secondary structure includes four short double-helical elements and three loops (D, anti-codon, and T loops).
Source: Rfam by way of RNAcentral